This 57-nucleotide non-coding RNA is filed under the name unclassified sequences. Its description in RNAcentral is "L31-Actinobacteria ribosomal protein leader". It matches the Rfam family "L31-Actinobacteria ribosomal protein leader". The record is from RNAcentral.
UUGGCUCCGGUUCACGACGGUGCCUGCGCGCGCGCAGGCCGGGUCGACCCGGCGGCC